UCCCUGAUGGCUCAGUGGUAUAGAAUCUGCUUGUAAUGCAGGAGACACAGGUUCAACCCCUGGGUCGGGAA
RNAcentral lists this transfer RNA (71 nucleotides) under Bos taurus (domestic cattle). It matches the Rfam family "tRNA". From Rfam's summary of the family: Transfer RNA (tRNA) molecules are approximately 80 nucleotides in length. Their secondary structure includes four short double-helical elements and three loops (D, anti-codon, and T loops). Further hydrogen bonds mediate the characteristic L-shaped molecular structure. tRNAs have two regions of fundamental functional importance: the anti-codon, which is responsible for specific mRNA codon recognition, and the 3' end, to which the tRNAs corresponding amino acid is attached (by aminoacyl-tRNA synthetases). tRNAs cope with the degeneracy of the genetic code in two manners: having more than one tRNA (with a specific anti-codon) for a particular amino acid; and 'wobble' base-pairing, i.e. permitting non-standard base-pairing at the 3rd anti-codon position. Lineage: Eukaryota; Metazoa; Chordata; Mammalia; Artiodactyla; Bovidae. RNAcentral also lists the same sequence under 3 other names. The record is from Rfam by way of RNAcentral.